Molecule: ribosomal RNA, 448 nt
Filed under: uncultured bacterium
Lineage: Bacteria
Description: partial 16S ribosomal RNA
Rfam family: Bacterial small subunit ribosomal RNA
Source: RNAcentral
AACGAACGCUGGCGGCAUGCUUAACACAUGCAAGUCGAACGAGACCUUCGGGUCUAGUGGCGCACGGGUGCGUAACGCGUGGGAAUCUGCCCUUAGGUACGGAAUAACUCAGAGAAAUUUGUGCUAAUACCGUAUGAUGUCGAAAGACCAAAGAUUGUAUCGUUAUAAGAUGAGCUUCUGUAGGAUUAGGUAGUUGGUGUGGUAAUGGCAUACCAAGCCAAAGAUCCUUAACUGGUCUGAGAGGAUGUACAGUCACACUGGGACUGAAAUAAGGCCCAGACUUCCAUGGAAGGCUGCAGUAGGGAAUUCUGGACAAUGGGCGAAAGCUUGAUCCGGUGAUAUCAGAUGAGUGAAGAAGGUGAAGACUGUAAAACUUGAUUAUUAAGGAGGAUAAUGACGUUACUUAAUAAGGAAGCCCCGGCUAAGCUUGUGCCAGCAGCCGCGGUAA